AGUGAACGCUGGCGGUAGGCCUAACACAUGCAAGUCGAACGGCAGCACAGUAAGAGCUUGCUCUUACGGGUGGCGAGUGGCGGACGGGUGAGGAAUACAUCGGAAUCUACUUUUUCGUGGGGGAUAACGUAGGGAAACUUACGCUAAUACCGCAUACGACCUACGGGUGAAAGCAGGGGAUCUUCGGACCUUGCGCGAUUGAAUGAGCCGAUGUCGGAUUAGCUAGUUGGCGGGGUAAAGGCCCACCAAGGCGACGAUCCGUAGCUGGUCUGAGAGUGUGAUCCGCCACACUGGAACUGAGACACGUUCCAGACUCCUACGGGAGGCAACGGUGGGGAAUAUUGGACAAUGGGCGCAAGCCUGAUCCAGCCAUACCGCGUGGGUGAUGAAGGCCUUCGGGUUGUAAAGCCCUUUUGUUGGGAAAGAAAAGCAGCAGGUUAAUACCGCGCUGUUCUGACGGUACCCAAAGAAUAAGCACCGGCUAACUUCGUG
Molecule: ribosomal RNA, 492 nt
Filed under: uncultured bacterium
Lineage: Bacteria
Description: partial 16S ribosomal RNA
Rfam family: Bacterial small subunit ribosomal RNA
Source: RNAcentral